UUCAACCAUAGGGUUAUUGCG
This is a non-coding RNA of Caenorhabditis elegans, 21 nucleotides long. The record is from Ensembl. NCBI's taxonomy places the organism in Eukaryota, Metazoa, Nematoda, Chromadorea, Rhabditida, Rhabditidae.